RNAcentral lists this ribosomal RNA (41 nucleotides) under Phillipsia olivacea. RNAcentral describes it as "partial 25S rRNA". The record is from RNAcentral. Lineage: Eukaryota; Fungi; Ascomycota; Pezizomycetes; Pezizales; Sarcoscyphaceae.
GGAUUUUCCUCGGAUCAGGUAGGGAUACCCGCUGAACUUAA